This 1069-nucleotide long non-coding RNA is filed under the name Homo sapiens (human). RNAcentral's name for it is "novel transcript". Lineage: Eukaryota; Metazoa; Chordata; Mammalia; Primates; Hominidae. The record is from RNAcentral.
GAGUAGCUGGGACUGCAGGCGCCCGCCACCAUGCCUGGCUAAUUUUUUGUAUGUUUAGUAGAGACGGGGUUUCACCGUGUUAGCCAGGAUGGUCUCUAUCUCCUGACCUUGUGAUCUGCCUGCCUCGGCCUCCCGAAGUGCCGGGAUUACAAGCGUGAGCCACCAUUCCCGGCCCAAACAACUCUCAGAUGUGGAAAUGAAGUUCAGAGAAUUUAAGUAAAUUCCCAAGUUCAUGCAGGAGGAGAAGAAGUAUGAAGUGCUUGCUUGGACCUUUCUACUGUGCUUAUUAUUCUGUCUUCUCCUCAUGGCAAAUGCUUCCUGUCCUUGAACAUCAGACUUCAAGUUCUUCAGUUUUGGGACUUGGACUGGCCCCUUGCUCCUCAGCUUCCCAAUGGCCUACUGUGGGACCUUGUGAUCAUAUUUCUUUUUUAUUUUCAUUUAUUAAAUACAGAAGAAAUAUUUCGCUGAAGACACAGGAAACCCUAUUUUGUAUAAACGAGGGAUUGCAAGAGAUUGUUGGAAGAUCAAAGAUGGGUGAAUUGGAGCUCUUCCUGAGAACAAAAAGGAUUUAUGAAGGAAAAAGCAGCUAAUCAAAGAAGUUCUGAGUUUAAAUUCUGUUUUGUCCACUUACUAGCCAUUUGGCCUUGGGCAAGUCACUUUACUGGACCUCAGUUUCCUUGUAUGUGAAAGGUUUUGGUAAAAAUCAUAUUAGUUAAAGAAUGUAAAGAGUUUUAUAAAUUACAAAGUGAUUAAAAAAAGUAAAAUGUAUUGUUGUUUAGGAACAAUGAAAAAAAAAGAAACCUUGACAUUUUUUCUUCAAGUUCUUGCCUAAAAUGUUUAUUUGUUUGGCCCUUUUUAGAUUUAACAAAUUCUAUGUGUCUAAAUAUCAGUGUAGACCCCUUCUUACCCUACUGGAUUUAUAAGGUACUAAAAGUAGAUAUGCAUCUCUUCUGUCUUGGUUCGCUCUAAAAUGGGAUGUUUGCAAACCUCUUGGUUUUUCUUUUUUAAUAUGGAUGAAGCUUAUAUUAAUUUUUGGCUUGGUAUUAAAUUUUGUUUGGAAUAUUAUUAA